UACGGAGGGUGCAAGCGUUGCUCGGAAUUAUUGGGCGUAAAGGGUAGGUAGGUGGUCUUAUUUGUGUGGGGUGAAAGCCUUGGGCUUAACUCAAGAAGUGCCCCGCAAACGGUAAGACUGGAGUCUUGGAGAGGCUAGCGGAAUUCCCGGUGUAGCGGUGAAAUGCGUAGAGAUCGGGAGGAACACCAGAGGCGAAGGCGGCUAGCUGGACAAGCACUGACACUCAACUACGAAAGCGUGGGGAGCAAACAGG
RNAcentral lists this ribosomal RNA (253 nucleotides) under uncultured bacterium. Its description in RNAcentral is "partial 16S ribosomal RNA". It matches the Rfam family "Bacterial small subunit ribosomal RNA", at positions 524 to 776 of the family's 1533-position model. RNAcentral also lists the same sequence under 1 other name. The record is from RNAcentral.